UUCUGGUUGAUCCUGCCGGAGGCUACCGCUAUUGGAGUUCGAUUAAGCCAUGCGAGUCGCGAGUCUUAGGGACUCGGCGUACCGCUCAGUAACACGUGGGUAACCUGCCCUAUGCUGGGGGAUAACCUCGGGAAACUGAGAAUAAUACCCCAUAGUUCACCACGCCUGGAACGGUGGGUGGAUGAAAGCUCCGGCGGCAUAGGAUGGGCCUGCGGCGUAUCAGGUUGUAGGGGGUGUAAUGUACCCUCUAGCCAUCUACGCGUACGGGUGUUGGGAGACAUCGCCCGGAGAUGGAUUCUGAGACACGAAUCCAGACCCUACGGGGUGCAGCAGGCGCGAAAACUUGGCAAUGCGAGCAAUCGUGACCAGGGAACUCCAAGUGCAUCGGGUAAGACCGAUGCUUUUCUUGACUCUUCAAAGGUCUUGGAAUAAGGGGUGGGUAAGGACGGUGCCAGCCGCCGCGGUAAUACCGGCGCCUCAAGUGGUAGUCGCUUUUAUUGGGCCUAAAACGUCCGUAGCCGGUUUGGUACGUUCGUGGGUAAAUCAAGGCGCUCAACGUCUUGAAUUCUGCGAGCACGGCCAGACUUGGGACCAGGUGAGGUGUGGGGUACUCUCAGGGUAGGGGUAAAAUCCUGUCAUCCUGA
Molecule: ribosomal RNA, 644 nt
Filed under: uncultured Candidatus Poseidoniales archaeon
Lineage: Archaea; Methanobacteriati; Thermoplasmatota; Candidatus Poseidoniia; Candidatus Poseidoniales
Description: bacterial SSU rRNA
Rfam family: Archaeal small subunit ribosomal RNA
Source: RNAcentral